Molecule: ribosomal RNA, 520 nt
Filed under: uncultured bacterium
Lineage: Bacteria
Description: partial 16S ribosomal RNA
Rfam family: Bacterial small subunit ribosomal RNA
Source: RNAcentral
GACGAACGCUGGCGGCGUGCUUAACACAUGCAAGUCGAACGGAGAAUUUUAUUUCGGUGAAAUUCUUAGUGGCGAACGGGUGAGUAACGCGUAGACAACCUACCUCUCAGAUGGGGACAACAUCGCGAAAGCGGUGCUAAUACCGAAUGAUGUAACUUUUCUGCAUGGAAGAGUUACCAAAGGCGGCCUCUAUUUAUAAGCUGUCACUGAGAGAUGGGUCUGCGUCUGACUAGCUAGUUGGCGGGGUAAUGGCCCACCAAGGCGACGAUCAGUAGCCGGUCGGAGAGGAUGAACGGCCACAUUGGGACUGAGACACGGCCCAAACUCCUACGGGAGGCAGCAGUGGGGAAUCUUCCGCAAUGGACGAAAGUCUGACGGAGCAACGCCGCGUGAGUGAAGGAGGUUUUCGGAUCGUAAAGCUCUGUUGUUUGAGACGAACGUGCAAUUUUUGAAUAAGGAAUUGUAAUGACGGUAUUAAACGAGAAAGCCACGGCUAACUACGUGCCAGCCGCCGCGGUAA